GCAUCUAUACUGUGAAACUGCGAAUGGCUCAUUAAAUCAGUUAUCGUUUAUUUGAUAGUACCUUACUACUUGGAUAACCGUGGUAAUUCUAGAGCUAAUACAUGCUAAAAACCCCGACUUCUGGAGGGGUGUAUUUAUUAGAUAAAAAACCAAUGCCCUUCGGGGCUCCUUGGUGAUUCAUAAUAACUUAACGAAUCGCAUGGCCUUGUGCCGGCGAUGGUUCAUUCAAAUUUCUGCCCUAUCAACUUUCGAUGGUUAGGUCUUGGCUAACCAUGGUUUCAACGGGUAACGGGGAAUUAGGGUUCUAUUCCGGAGAGUGAGCCUGAGAAACGGCUAACACAUCCAAGGAAGGCAGCAGGCGCGCAAAUUACCCAAUCCCGACACGGGGAGGUAGUGACAAUAAAUACUGAUCCAGGGCUCUUUUGGGUCUUGGAAUUGGAAUGAGUACAAUUUAAAUCCCUUAACGAGGAACAAUUGGAGGGCAAGUCUGGUGCCAGCAGCCGCGGUAAUUCCAGCUCCAAUAGCGUAUAUUAAAGUUGUUGCAGUUAAAAAGCUCGUAGUUGAACCUUGGGUCUGGCUGGUUGGUCCGCCUCACCGCGUGUACUGAUCCGGCCGGACCUUUCCUUCUGGGGAACUGCAUGCCCUUCACUGGGUGUGUCAGGGAUCCAGGACUUUUACUUUGAAAAAAUUAGAGUGUUCAAAGCAGGCCUAUGCUCGAAUACAUUAGCAUGGAAUAAUAGAAUAGGACGUGUGGUUCUAUUUUGUUGGUUUCUAGGACCGCCGUAAUGAUUAAUAGGGAUAGUCGGGGGCAUCAGUAUUCAAUUGUCAGAGGUGAAAUUCUUGGAUUUAUUGAAGACUAACUACUGCGAAAGCAUUUGCCAAGGAUGUUUUCAUUAAUCAGUGAACGAAAGUUAGGGGAUCGAAGACGAUCAGAUACCGUCGUAGUCUUAACCAUAAACUAUGCCGACUAGGGAUCGGGCGAUGUUACUUUUUUGACUCGCUCGGCACCUUACGAGAAAUCAAAGUCUUUGG
This is a ribosomal RNA of 1032 nucleotides. It matches the Rfam family "Eukaryotic small subunit ribosomal RNA", at positions 69 to 1110 of the family's 1831-position model.